GCUGUCUUCUUUUAGGUUUGUUGAAGGAUUACUUUCUUGCUUUUUCUAGGGUGUAGUUUCCAUUCUUGUGUUGGUGUUUUCCCUUUAUUAUCCUUUGAAGGGCUGGAUACCUGGAAAGAUAAUGUGUGAAUUUGAUUUUGUCAUGGAAUACUUUGGUUUCUCCAUCUAUGGUAAUUGAGAGUUUUGCUGAGUAUAGUAGCAUGGGCUGGCAUUUGUGUUCUCUUAGGGUCUGUAUAACAUCUGUCCAGGAUCUUCUGACUUUCAUAGUCUCUGGUGAAAAGUCUGGUGUAAUUCUGUUAGGUUAUAUGUUACUUUACCUUUUUCCCUUACUGCUUUUAAUAUUCUAUCGUUAUUUAGUGCAUUUGUUGUUCUGAUUAUUAUGUGUCAGGAGGAAUUUCUUUUCUGGUCCAGUAUAUUUGAAGUUCUGUAGGCUUCUUGUAUGUUCAUGGGCAUCUCUUUCUUUAGAUUUGGGAAGUUUUCUUCUAUAAUAUUGUUGAAGAUAUUUGCUGGAACUUUAAGUUGAAAGUCUUCAUCCUCAUCUACUCCUAUUAUCCAUAGGUUUGGUCUUCUCAUUGUGUCCUGGAUUUCCUGGAUGUUUUGAGUUAGGAUCUUUUUGCAUUUUGAAUUUUUUGAUUGUUCUCUAUGUUCUCCAUGGAAUCUUCUGCCCCUGAGAUUCUCUCUUCCAUCUCUUGUAUUCUGUUGCUGAUGCUCGCAUCUAUGGUUCCUGAUUUCUUUCUUAGGGCUUCUAUCUCCAGAGUUGUCUCCCUUUAGGUUUUCUUUAUUGUGUCUACUUCCCUUUUUAGGUCUUGGAUGGUUUUGUUCAAUUCCAUCACCUCUUUGUAUUUUCCUGUAAUUCUUUAAGGGAUUUUGUGUUUCCUCUUUAAGGACUUCUACCUGUUUAGCAGUAUUCUCCUGUAUUUCUUUAAGUGAGUUAUUAAUGCCCUUCGUAAAGUCCUCUACCAGCAUCAUGAGAUAUGAUUUUAAAUCCGAAUCUUGCUUUUCGGGUGUGUUUGGGUAUCCAGGACUGGCUGAGUUGGGAGUGCUGGAUUCUGAUGAUGGUGAAUUGCCUUGGUUUCUGUUAGUAAGAUUCUUAUGUUUGCCUUUUGCCAUCUGGUAAUCUCUGGUGUUAGUUGUUAUAGUUGUCUCUGGCUGGAGCUUGAUCCUCCUGUGAUUCUGUUAGCCUCUGUCAGCAGUCCUGGGAGUACAGCUCUCUCCUGAAUUUCAGUGGUCAGAGUACUCUUUGCAGACAAGCUCUCCUCAUUCAGGGAAGGUGCAUGUAGGUCUGGUGCUCAGACCUGCCUCCUGGCUGAAGAUGAAGGCCUGUUGUUUCUGUAGUCUGCUUGCUCACCCUCCACAGUCUGAGUGCUCACCUGUGCAGACUGGUCUCUGAGGGACCUGGGACACAAGAUGGCUCCCUCACCUGCUUGGGUGGUCAGAGCCUUCUCAGGUGACCACCUCUCCUCUGGGGGUUGGGGGGAAGGUACCGGGAUGUCAGGAGCCCAAAGCAGGGUCUGUUCCAGAAGCUCUGUAGCUUCUGCAGUCUGCUUGCUCAAGCUCCACAGUCUGUGCGCUCACCUGUGCAAACUGAUCUCCGAGGGACCUAGGACACCAGUCUAGCUUUUUCAUACUGGCUAUGUAGCUAGCUACAUGGCAGAUGACCUGUGUGUGUGUGUGUGUGUGUGUGUGUGUGUGUGUGUGUGUGUGUGUGUAGAUGAUUUAUUGAAAUUACUUGCAGGUGCAAGCAGCAGUCUAGCUGGUCCAAGAAUGCCUGGCUGUAAACAGAACAUCCAAGAAUCCUGUACUUGCUCAGUCCACAAGGCUGGAUGUUUCAGUUGAUCUUCGGUAUAUGCUGGAAUCCUGAAGAAAUAGGCUCUAAAGCCAGUGAAAGGAUAGACUUCUUAGAAAGGUGAGGGCAAGCAGGCAAAGAACAGAAGCUUCCUUCUUCCAUGUCCUUAUAUAGGAUUCCAGCAGAAUGUGUGGCCCAGAAUAGAUCUGAGUUAAAAGUGUGUCUUCCUACCUCAAAGAUUCAAAUUAGAAAUGGAUCUUUUUUACUUUACAUUAAGC
Molecule: long non-coding RNA, 2064 nt
Filed under: Mus musculus (house mouse)
Lineage: Eukaryota; Metazoa; Chordata; Mammalia; Rodentia; Muridae
Description: long non-coding RNA chr18:5734751-5736815
Source: RNAcentral